AACGGUAGCGCGUCUGACUCCAGAUCAGAAGGCUGGGGGUUCGAAUCCCUCACUGG
RNAcentral lists this transfer RNA (56 nucleotides) under Phaeocystis globosa. Its description in RNAcentral is "partial tRNA". It matches the Rfam family "tRNA", at positions 14 to 63 of the family's 71-position model. Rfam says of the family: Transfer RNA (tRNA) molecules are approximately 80 nucleotides in length. Their secondary structure includes four short double-helical elements and three loops (D, anti-codon, and T loops). The record is from RNAcentral. Lineage: Eukaryota; Haptophyta; Phaeocystales; Phaeocystaceae.